CCGCGGUAAUACGUAGGGGGCUAGCGUUAUCCGGAUUUACUGGGCGUAAAGGGUGCGUAGGCGGUCUUUCAAGUCAGGAGUGAAAGGCUACGGCUCAACCGUAGUAAGCUCUUGAAACUGGGAGACUUGAGGGCAGGAGAGGAGAGUGGAAUUCCUAGUGGAGCGGUGAAAUGCGUAGAUAUUAGGAGGAACACCAGUGGCGAAGGCGGCUCUCUGGACUGUAACUGACGCUGAGGCACGAAAGCGUGGGGAGCAAACAGGAUUAGAUACCCUGGUAGUCCACGCUGU
Molecule: ribosomal RNA, 288 nt
Filed under: Clostridioides difficile
Lineage: Bacteria; Bacillati; Bacillota; Clostridia; Peptostreptococcales; Peptostreptococcaceae
Description: partial 16S ribosomal RNA
Rfam family: Bacterial small subunit ribosomal RNA
Source: RNAcentral